GAUGAACGCUGGCGGCGUGCCUAAUACAUGCAAGUCGAGCGAACAGACGAGGAGCUUGCUCCUCUGACGUUAGCGGCGGACGGGUGAGUAACACGUGGAUAACCUACCUAUAAGACUGGGAUAACUUCGGGAAACCGGAGCUAAUACCGGAUAAUAUAUUGAACCGCAUGGUUCAAUAGUGAAAGACGGUUUUGCUGUCACUUAUAGAUAGAUCCGCGCCGCAUUAGCUAGUUGGUAAGGUAACGGCUUACCAAGGCGACGAUGCGUAGCCGACCUGAGAGGGUGAUCGGCCACACUGGAACUGAGACACGGUCCAGACUCCUACGGGAGGCAGCAGUAGGGAAUCUUCCGCAAUGGGCGAAAGCCUGACGGAGCAACGCCGCGUGAGUGAUGAAGGUCUUCGGAUCGUAAAACUCUGUUAUUAGGGAAGAACAAAUGUGUAAGUAACUAUGCACGUCUUGACGGUACCUAAUCAGAAAGCCACGGCUAACUACGU
RNAcentral lists this ribosomal RNA (496 nucleotides) under uncultured bacterium. RNAcentral's name for it is "partial 16S ribosomal RNA". It matches the Rfam family "Bacterial small subunit ribosomal RNA", at positions 28 to 506 of the family's 1533-position model. The record is from RNAcentral.